RNAcentral lists this ribosomal RNA (679 nucleotides) under Mucor racemosus. Its description in RNAcentral is "eukaryotic LSU rRNA". It matches the Rfam family "Eukaryotic large subunit ribosomal RNA", at positions 62 to 648 of the family's 3401-position model. Lineage: Eukaryota; Fungi; Mucoromycota; Mucoromycetes; Mucorales; Mucoraceae. The record is from RNAcentral.
AAAAUAACAAUGAUUUCCCUAGUAACGGCGAGUGAAGAGGAAAGAGCUCAAAGUUGGAACCUGUUUGGCUUAGCUAAACCGGAUUGUAAACUGUAGAAACAUUUUCCAGAUACACUAGACAAAAAAGUCCUUUGGAACAGGGCAUCAUAGAGGGUGAGAAUCCCGUCUUUGGUCUAAGUAGUUGUCUAUUGUGAUAUGUUUUCAAAGAGUCAGGUUGUUUGGGAAUGCAGCCUAAAUUGGGUGGUAAAUCUCACCUAAAGCUAAAUAUUUGCGAGAGACCGAUAGCGAACAAGUACCGUGAGGGAAAGAUGAAAAGAACUUUGAAAAGAGAGUUAAACAGUAUGUGAAAUUGUUAAAAGGGAACCGUUUGGAGCCAGAUUGGCUUGAUUGUAAUCAACCUAGAAUUCGUUUUGGGUGCACUUGCAGUCUAUGCCUGCCAACGACAGUUUGAUUUGGAGGAAAAAAUUAAUAGGAAUGUGGCCUUUCGAGGUGUUAUAGCCUAUUAUCAUACUCUGGAUUGGACUGAGGAACGCAGUGAAUGCCUUUAGGCAAGAUUGCUGGGCGCUUUCGCUAAUAAAUGUUAGAAUUUCUGCUUCGGGUGGUGCUAAUGUUUAAAGGAGGAACUCGUUUAGUAUAUUUUUUAUUCGCUUAGGUUGUUGGCUUAAUGACUCUAAAUGAC